This is a long non-coding RNA of Phascolarctos cinereus (koala), 940 nucleotides long. RefSeq lists it as uncharacterized. The record is from RefSeq and is a predicted model, not a curated record. NCBI's taxonomy places the organism in Eukaryota, Metazoa, Chordata, Mammalia, Diprotodontia, Phascolarctidae.
GGCUCUUUUCCUGUCUGGCUGCUUUUUGGGUGCUAGAGAUAAGCUGUAAGCCCCUGAAUGGGGAGAGAGCUUAGGCCCUCCCCACCUGAGGCGGACAAGUGGCCUCUCCCUCUAUUCUUUGCCCUUUUGCAUUUGCUCUUUCUUGUUUUAGGUGGAUAAAUAUGAGGGAGGGCUACAACCUUGUGAGCUGCAAAAGGCUGGAAUAGUGAACACCCUAAAAUGCCCAUGGCUGGAAUCUAUGCUGAGAUUUGCUGAAAGUUAGACAAUGAAGAGCAAAGUUCCAAGUGACCUGCUUGACCCAGCAUAAAUCAAAGGAAGUGUCUCAUCACUAAGUUUCCAGAACUACUGACCUGGAAGGAAACUAGAGUAUCACCCAGUCCAAUUCCCUCACUUCACAGAAGAAAAAAACAGGCCCACAGAGAUGAAGUGACGGCGAGAGACACACAGCAAGUUAGCAAUAAAGUGAAGACAAAAACCCAGGUCUAUGGGAUGGUACGGAAGAAAUUUGAAUUCAGAAAACUUCCAUUCAAAGCCUGGUUUUGCCAUUUACCACCUGUGAGACCUUAGAUCUUCAAGAACUUUCCCAGAAAAGUGCCUCUACUCAUCACCACAUGGACCUUCAUCAAAAAAUAUAUCAACCUUGUCCUACGGAUAUUUCAAGAUCCAAAGGAUUUAUUAUUUAUUAUUGAGGUUACAGAGAAAAUACAAAGAAUAAAUGAAGUUGCUGGUGUUUCUAGGAGUCCAACCAGGACAACAGUGGGGUGGGGGGUGGGGCAAAGAUCUGCUCACAUAAACCUCUCACCUUUCCUGCCUCUAGGGCAGAAGAAUCAAGAAAGAUGACCAACAUUCUGAAUGCUAUUCAAACAGAUUUAAAUGUAAUUGGGAAAUAUUCAAUAAAAUAAAAUACAACAAAACAUAAAUAACAUUAGCAUGUGGUUUU